This 408-nucleotide ribosomal RNA is filed under the name uncultured bacterium. RNAcentral describes it as "partial 16S ribosomal RNA". It matches the Rfam family "Bacterial small subunit ribosomal RNA", at positions 28 to 526 of the family's 1533-position model. The record is from RNAcentral.
GACGAACGCUGGCGGCGUGCUUAACACAUGCAAGUCGAACUAAGUGGCGAACGGGUGAGUAACGCGUAAUCAACCUGCUCUUCAGAGGGGGACAACAGUUAGAAACGACUGCUAAUACCUCAUACUAACGGAGGGGAUUGCGUCUGAUUAGCUAGUUGGACGGGUAACGGCCCACGAAGGCGAUGAUCAGUAGCCGGUCUGAGAGGAUGAACGGCCAAAUAGGGACUGAGACACGGCCCAGACUCCUACGGGAGGCAACAUCGGGGAAUCUUCCGCAAUGGACGAAAGUCUGACGGAGCAACGCCGCGUGAGUGAUGACGGCCUUCGGGUUGUAAAGCUCUGUUAAUCGGGACGCGGUACCGGAAUUGAAAACCACGGCUAACUACGUGCCAGCAGCCGCGGUAAUAC